RNA transcript from Helianthus annuus (common sunflower), 4054 nucleotides. RefSeq lists it as uncharacterized. The transcript has 12 exons. NCBI's taxonomy places the organism in Eukaryota, Viridiplantae, Streptophyta, Magnoliopsida, Asterales, Asteraceae. The record is from RefSeq and is a predicted model, not a curated record.
AGAACUCAGAUCCAUACAUACGCACACCACUGCCCUCAUCUCCCUUACUUCUCCUUCAUAUGAAAACCCUAAUCCUCUAACAUCUUCACUCACUCUAAACACAGACAAGAGAUUCCUCUCUACCUCGCAUCCACUCCAUUCCACUGUUAAAGUUCAGGCGAUCGGAAUUAAUGGCGGAGGCACUCUGGCGUUGAGACACCCAACGACAAACAACCCCCCCCCCCUUCUUCGUCGUGUUUCUGACAACCACAACCACACCCCGGUUCCCUGUUUUUCCGGUGAUAGAUCGAAGAAAAAGAGAGAACGGCGAGGAGAGAGAGUGUGUCGGUGAGCAGAGAGACAGACGGAGCAGAGGAGACGGCGGCAUCACCGCCGUACAUGGUGGCGGUGACUGUUUUCCGGCGACCGGCGAUGGCUGCGGAGUCCGGCGGCAGAGAUGGUAGUUCAGCAGAGUUCAUGUUCAAGUCAGGAAAUCAAAAGUCGCGUACUCGCGUGGAUCUUUGCUUUGCACCAGGCCACCAGGGAUCUGAUCAAAGUCAUCAAAUCAAACGCUGCAGGAUUUCUGAUCAAACUCAUCAAACGCUGCACCAGGCCACCGGACAUCCGCAAUUCCGCAUUCCGCAGAUUCGCGAAUCGCGAUUCAGGAGAGGUUAAUUAAAGUGCGAGAGGUAAAAUAUGCAGAUGAAGAUUUAUGUUACUACAUACUGUAUUAUAUCAUCAAGUGGAAAUUUACAUGUAAAGUUGGAUUAUUUUACAAUAAGGGAUUACUUCAUUUUCCACCAACGGUCUACUAUCCUAAUUCUUUUUGCUUGGGGUAUGCUUUAUAUUUAUACAUUUAUGCUACUGAUUGAUAAUUAGAUUGAUGAGUUUUUAGUUAUAUAAUUGAAUGAUUGAUGAGUUUAUGUUAUAUAAAGAUUUGCGAAUAGGGCCCAAAUUUUUUAUCUCGAACAGGGCCAAAAUUUUUUUUGGGAUUUUCGUAGACGGCCCUGAGCAGUUGUUAACAUAUUGAUAGCAGUUUCAUUAGCAGACAUAUUCUCCAACUUCACACAAUUUGCUUUAACCUUUAAAGCACCAAGAGCUACAGAUGUGCCACUUAUAUCUUCAGGCUCAUUACGUUUCCUACUAUACGUCACACACUUGUGUACAUCCAGUUUACUAUCAUUACUCUCACUUUGAUGCAAGUCAGCAACCGUCAACGAUGCAGCAGGCAGGCAAUUCACGUAUGCUUUCGCAUUAGCAUCUUGCGCAACACUUGCAGUCCCUUAUGAGGAUGAAGCGUUGUUAAGCGACGGCGACGAAUCCAUGAAUACGAUCCUCCUUUUCGUGAUCGGUAAAUGUUUGGCCGAGGCUUCCAUCUGCAGUUCACCGAAACCGAAACCGAAUCAUAAUUAAACUUUUCAAGCCAAAACAAUCAACAUAAACAAUCCUUAUCAAAACAAGGUUAAGUUCUUCACCUUAUCAGAUUCCAAAACAAGCGGUUUCAACCCGUUUGAAUCCAUAGCAAGUAACCGUUUCAAAUCACGAAUCAAGAAGUGGGUUCAAAUCCCCAACUCAACUAACCUGAUGAUUGACGGUGGUAGCGCCGCUGAAGUCGAAAAACUGGGCGAAACUGCAGAUGACGCCGGCGUCGCUAAUGUUGUCUUCAGUUCUUCACCAACCCUAGAGAGAACCCGUUCACAAUUCUCAACCCUAGAGAACCCGUACCUUCAGAAUGCUCAACCCGUAAUGACCCGUGGAAUACUUCUUUGUUUUUUUAAUUAACCCAUUUUGACCCUUUGACUUAAAUUACUUUACCCAAACCCACCCAUAAUAUCUUAUAAAUAACCCAAAAUGACCCAUAUCAAAGACUUUGGGUCAGAAUUGCCCCCUCUAGGCUCGGACAUCUGUUCGGGUGACGUUCGGUCAGAUCUGUUCAGGUCGGGUCGGGUUGAGCGGCACAACCCGACUAGGGUCAACUUAAGGGCGCUUCGGGUUGGUUUGGUUUGAGAUAAGUCACGGUCAAAAUGUUCGGAUCAGCUGCAAUCAGGGGUGGAGACGCGGGUUCGAGUCAGCGGGUCAGACCCCGGUCAACAACAGGUCAAACCGAGUUGACACGGUCAACACCAGAGUCGACUCAGGUCAACAAGACGGUCAACUGAGGUCGACUCAGUCAACGUAAGCUCGGAAUGUCGUAGUUGCACGCUAGCUAAAUACACAUUCUUGGAACAACACUACGGAAUCACGCUAGGCUAGCUUUGCCCAGGAAUGUCAAGGUUACAUUGUCAAAACUACGGAACGGUUGGAAUAGAAGAACCCACGGGAUUUCGAGUAAUUAGCGGGCGUUCAUUUUUUAGAAGUCUUAGCUUUUUGCUUCCGCUGUGCAAUGAAGAUACCGGUCCAGUCACGCCAGCUCUGAUAUUUCGGGGUGUGACAUAACAUGGAUGAGCAAAUGGUAUUGAAUUUUUUGAACAGAUAAUUUUUGGUACCGAUUCCAUACUGACUUUUGACAUUUUCGUUACCAGUUCAGUACCGGUAUUUGCCUUCAAAUACCGGUACCAUACCAGGUAUUUUUGGUACCGAUACCCACUUUUAAAGAUUUUUUAUACUAAUAUCGGUUUGGUACUGGUUGUCUAAUACCUGACGGGUAAUUAUCCGACUUAUACCUUAUACCUGAUGAAUAUUAAACCGUACAUGAGACACAAUUUUACAACCGGGUAUAAGUCUCUGAUUACUAGUACCCAUUGAUUAAGACUGAUCCAAUGGGUGAAAAUGAAAGUUUGACCGGUGUAGAAGACAAAUAAUGAAUGAGAGUGCUUUUUCAAGGGUACAUCAUACCCGUAGAUUAAACAAUCAUGAAACUGAUCGAAUGGGUGAAAAUGAAUGUUUGACUGAUGUAGAAGGCAAAUAAUGAAUGAGAGUGCUUUUUCAAGGGUACAACAGACCCUUAUUUGGUGAGUACAAUUCUUGUUCUUUGUUGUUUGCCUUUUCAGGCUUGACCUUUGACUAGAAAUUUAGAAAUUUUGCUUUAGAGAGAAAGAGAAGAGCUAGCAAUCAGUUUAAAAAGGACAUCUGUUUCCUCCUCCAUUUGUUAAUGUUUAAUUUGUUUUUCUUUUAAGAAAAAGUGUUGUGAGUUUGGGAGCGAUGAGCGAAGACGGAAUUUGGGUCAUGCUUUUGAUACCUUGCUAUAUUGAGGAUAAUGGUAACACAUACGGCGUGUUUCUAAGCUUUAAACGGGGAAGUACUGGAAACGAGCACACUCUAGCCUGUACCAGCUGAAGGCCUUCCAACAGGAUGGUUGUUGCGAAAAAAAAUACGCAGCCAAGGACUGGGCUACAACAAGUACUAUAUUCAACCUGGAACCGGCAAAGUGUUCAAAUCAAGAAAGGAGGUUGAGAGAUUUUUUGAGCAGCAGGAUGAUCAGAUUGACGCUUACGGAGAAAAAAUGGAAGAUCUUCGAAGACAACUGCAGGACGCUCUCAAUGAAAAAAAUAAAUUUGAGACUCAACAUAAAUAACAAUUGCUGUUGAACAACCAACUCAUGAAACAGAUGGAGGAGCUGACCUGUGAAAAGGAGAGGAGACAGGAUCUAAAAGAAAGAGUUAAAAACUUCAGUAUUGCCUACGCUAAACGCCAGGAGUCUAUUAAGUCGUUCGUAGAGAACUACAAAUCUAAACUAGACCACUUUAAAGCUCAAACACCACCCCCAUCAACCUCCCUCGUCGGUACAAGCCACCACAUCUAGUUAUCUUCAUUGGGCAAAAUCACCAUCAUCACCUCUGAAAUCAAGCAUCCAGAUCAAAUCAUUAAGAUUGAUGGUGAAGUUCGGUGGGUUGAGCGUAUUCAUAAAGAUUGCUUUUGGUAUCAGUGUUCUUUAUUGGGAGAUGCUCGAGGUUGGGUUCUACAGCCUUCAGCUCCACAUUAUACAGUAAUGAGUACAUGAAAGUAAUCAUAUAACUCGUAGUGAAACCAAAAAGUCAAUGUGAAACCUUAAAUUCUUGGUCUAUACUAUUUUUCAAAUUGAACAAUGAUAUCUGUUUUUGUAAUAUACUAGUGGGUUGCCACCUGCACUCUGCAA